UUGGAGGGCAAGUCUGGUGCCAGCAGCCGCGGUAAUUCCAGCUCCAAUAGCGUAUAUUAAAGUUGUUGCAGUUAAAAAGCUCGUAGUUGAAUUUCGGGGUUCUACCGUUGGUCGGGCUAUUGUCUGUACUGGCGUGUAGAAUUUCUACCUUCUGGGGAACUAUCAUGUUAUUAAUUUAGCGUGGUAGGAAACCAGGACCUUUACCUUGAAAAAAUUAGAGUGUUCAAAGCAGGCUUAUGUCUGAAUACAUUAGCAUGGAAUAAUAAAAUAGGACGGUGGUCCUGUUUUGUUGGUUUCUGAAUCACCGUAAUGAUUAAUAGGGAUAGUUGGGGGCAUUAGUAUUCAAUUGUCAGAGGUGAAAUUCUUGGAUUUAUUGAAGACUAACUACUGCGAAAGCAUUUGCCAAGGAUGUUUUCAUUAAUCAAGAACGAAAGUUAGGGGGUCGAAGACGAUCAGAUACCGUCGUAGUCUUAACCAUAAACUAUGCCGACUAGGGAUCGGACGAUGUUAACUUUUCUUGACUCGUUCGGCGCCUUACGGGAAA
This 544-nucleotide ribosomal RNA is filed under the name uncultured Glomeromycotina. RNAcentral describes it as "SSU rRNA". It matches the Rfam family "Eukaryotic small subunit ribosomal RNA", at positions 548 to 1097 of the family's 1831-position model. The record is from RNAcentral. Lineage: Eukaryota; Fungi; Glomeromycota.